GGUUAAGGGUUGGGUUGAUGGUAGGACCAGAUGAUCUUAGUGGUCUUAAAUGACCACGUAAAUGACCUUAAUGAUUUUAUGAUUAUAUGACUAUGGCUUGUUCAUUCAGUAUCUGCUUUUGCCUUGACUCCUGUGGAAUGAAACAGAGGAUGAUUAUCACAGUCAGUCUCUUUUGGUUGAUCAGACUGCAAAAAGGAGAUGUUCCCCACCAGCUGCUAGCACAAUGCUGUCUCAAGCUAGAAUGGGGUAGAAAUAGAAAGAUGUUGAGCAAACGUGCACUCAAACACAGCAAAAGGGAGUCUUUGUAGUAUAUUCCACUCAUCCUCAGGGCCAAAACCGAACAGCUUUGGAAAUUGAAAGUGCUUUCCAGAUGAAUUUUCUGGGCCAGCAAAAGUCUGGCUAUCUCUGUGUAUCUGUCUUGUUCUCAGAGCUGGGCGAUGUUUCUCAUAAAAAUGCUUCUCUAGGAGAUUUGGCAAGUGCAGCUUGGUGGCACCGAAGUGUUUUGCAAGCACACAGAGAUUUUUGCAAAGGGUUUUCAAAAAAUAUGAAAAGGAUAAUGAAAAUUACCAGCUUCAGCUUCUGAAACAGCUUCUGAUUUUGGAGAGUUCUCUCAUUCUUCUAUACAAAAAAAAUACUCAGAGAUCUUCAGUGAUUGAAAUUACUACAGUUUGGGCAAAAGGGAACAUUUUGACCAAUCUGGGAUAAUCUUUCUCUUCCAUUUCCAACUAAAACUGUCAUCAAGUAAAACACAAAACCCAAACCUGUUUUCGUUCAUCAUGAAAAAGACUUUUUCCCCCCAAAAUCAGGAAAUUGCUCAGUGGCACUCUAAAAUAUAUAGUAGCAUGAUUUUCUGGUUGGUUUCCUCUUCCAAGUCUUUGUCGUGCAGCUGCCAAGCAAUAACCUUUCUGCAGUGUCUGAUGCCUGUGGCACAGGGAUGUGCAAAGCCCAACAUGUAAACAGCUCAGCCUGGGCUGAGGGACGUCCAGAUGAAAAUGUGUUAAACUUCAUAAGUUUUUUUUUUCUUCUUCUUUUUUCAAUAUUUGAAAUAACUCAGUGUUGUGGCAAGGCUGAAUCUUCAGGUGGAGCAGCAAAAUGUGCAGCCUCUGUAUGGACUGCAAAUGAAUUUUCUGCACGAGGCUUUGGUGGGUCGCUCAUGGGAUGGAGAUGGUCUUUGUAGAGCUGCAACUGCAUGGAGAUGGAGUGCAUUUCUAGGGGCUGGAGUUUGGUGCCAUCCCAACCCUGGAAAGGUUUGGGGGUGGUGAUGACUACAUUGCCAACGAUGGGGAAAAAAAUAAACACCUUGAUGUC
Molecule: long non-coding RNA, 1308 nt
Organism: Lagopus muta (rock ptarmigan)
Lineage: Eukaryota; Metazoa; Chordata; Aves; Galliformes; Phasianidae
Exons: 2
Source: RefSeq, a predicted model, not a curated record